GGGCGAUUAGCUCAGCGGGAGAGCGUCCCCCUGACACGGGGAAGGUCACAGGUUCAAUCCCUGUAUCGCCCACCA
RNAcentral lists this transfer RNA (75 nucleotides) under Acetobacteraceae bacterium. RNAcentral's name for it is "tRNA-Val". It matches the Rfam family "tRNA". From Rfam's summary of the family: Transfer RNA (tRNA) molecules are approximately 80 nucleotides in length. Their secondary structure includes four short double-helical elements and three loops (D, anti-codon, and T loops). The record is from RNAcentral. Lineage: Bacteria; Pseudomonadati; Pseudomonadota; Alphaproteobacteria; Acetobacterales; Acetobacteraceae.